AGAGAGAGAGAGAGAGAGAGAUGAACACCGCCAACUAUGCAUGGUGCAUACAAUUUAAGCGAGAGAAUCAACAACUCAAAGAACGAAAUAAACUACUGAUGCAAGUUUGAAGCCUGACCACUGAAAGAAUUAGAACUUCCCACAGGUUAGUGGACGCAUAACACGAUAUCGUCUAUGCAAAAGAAGAAAUACGUACAAUAUUAGUAGAUUCGCCCAAGUAAAUUCAGUAUAUAAUUUUAACAUUAUAUUUUCAUAAUACGGUCACACAAAUGAUAGUAGUAUGUAUCUGCAUUCAUUCAGAUAGCCCACAAGAUUGAGCAGAGCAAUAUUAAUGUACUGUGGAACACACCAAACCUUUUUUUUUAACUCUGUGGAACAUACUGAUGGUAACCAAUUGAUACAGUAUACGGUAUAUAAUGGUGAGUUAAGCCAAUCUCGCUAGAUAAUGCUCUAGCCAAGAACCACAUGCACAGGCCAUUCUUCAUCUCUCUACUCAAAAACUAUACAUUUAGAUACAUUAUAACUGGGCACUCUAGGCAACCUCUCACGCCCUCAUCAUUCUGGAACGUCAGAUUUCGUGUCCUGAUCAUUGUCGGCCGUUUGAUGCGCUUUCUCUGUUCGCGUGGGCUGCUCCUGGGUCCUAGGGCCGCUACACCCGAAACAAAAUCGGAGUCCUCCCAUUCACUACAGGGUUUCCGAUCUCACGUAUGGGCAAUCGUGAUAUGCGCUGGGAAUUUCAUCCCGUUCCACCCGACCUCUUGCCAAUCACCCCGCGAAGGUUGCGCCGCCUCGUUUUCGCCAAGCCGCCAUCCUACUUCUCAUGUCCUUACCAGGGAGGAACUCCUCUCUCAGAUUGGUUGAGGCGGUGCACCAAUGAGGCCGAACCGGAUUUUUUUUUCCUUCGUGUCGUGCCGCCGCUGGAUCCAACCUCGCUUGAGCACCCCGCCGGAGGUAUGGAGAGUUCCUCCCCGAUCCACCACUCAAAACCGAGUCGGGACACGACGAGAAGGAUGUGUUGUCGCCCUCAAUCUCUUUUUGUUCAAAGACACAGGUGACCGGUGGCAGAGUUACCAUGGCGAGGUUCCAGUCGUCCACGAUGAGAUUUCUAAGAUUUCAUUGGUGUCCCGUGCGCCGACGAGCGACCAGAGGCAAGCGGAAGAGGGAGGUUCUUUGAUGGCAAGAGGAGCAAUGGCGGCAGCCUAUCUUCCUGGUGGGACCCACUCAUAGAGGUGAAAAAAUGCCACUCUCCCACGUUAACAUGGGGCUUUUUUGUGAAAAUAUAUAUUUCGAGGGUGUUUUCCAAAAAAUCAGGCCACACACCCAUUCUCCGUAGUGCAGCGGCUGACAGUGGGGCCCACGCGCCUAGUCAGCACCUACUCCGUACAUAAACGAGGUUAAUGCCCUUCCUGCCAAGAUACACCAUCGAUUACUUAUCGAUUGAUGUCAUCCACCAUGCAAGCACAAUUGAUUUUAUUUUCUUUUGAAAGAAACUGGGAGUUGUGCACAUCCAGCAUAGGUAAGCCUUCUAUAUUAUUCUUUGUGGAACUUGAAUGGUAUUUACACAACAAAGUGAAAUAUA
Triticum dicoccoides is the source of this 1579-nucleotide RNA transcript. RefSeq lists it as uncharacterized. Lineage: Eukaryota; Viridiplantae; Streptophyta; Magnoliopsida; Poales; Poaceae. The record is from RefSeq and is a predicted model, not a curated record. The transcript is spliced from 4 exons.